GAUGAACGCUGGCGGCGUGCCUAAUACAUGCAAGUCGAGCGAACAGACGAGGAGCUUGCUCCUCUGACGUUAGCGGCGGACGGGUGAGUAACACGUGGAUAACCUCCCUAUAAGACUGGGAUAACUUCGGGAAACCGGAGCUAAUACCGGAUAAUAUAUUGAACCGCAUGGUUCAAUAUUGAAAGACGGUUUUGCUGUCACUUAUAGAUGGAUCCGCGCCGCAUUAGCUAGUUGGUAAGGUAACGGCUUACCAAGGCGACGAUGCGUAGCCGACCUGAGAGGGUGAUCGGCCACACUGGAACUGAGACACGGUCCAGACUCCUACGGGAGGCAGCAGUAGGGAAUCUUCCGCAAUGGGCGAAAGCCUGACGGAGCAACGCCGCGUGAGUGAUGAAGGUCUUCGGAUCGUAAAACUCUGUUAUUAGGGAAGAACAAAUGUGUAAGUAACUAUGCACGUCUUGACGGUACCUAAUCAGAAAGCCACGGCUAACUACGUG
Molecule: ribosomal RNA, 497 nt
Filed under: uncultured bacterium
Lineage: Bacteria
Description: partial 16S ribosomal RNA
Rfam family: Bacterial small subunit ribosomal RNA
Source: RNAcentral